GCAGAAAUAAUGUGACUGUUUAGAAAAAAGCAAGUGUUUUUUCUCUAAACAGUCACAUUUUAUCUGCUUUAGGACGAAAAACAUCGAGCUCACAAGAUGCUCCACCAUCCUCCUCAACACCAGAGGCACACCAUUCUCCACCAGGCCCUUCUCCUGCAGCUCAAACAGGGACACUCCAAACAGCUUGGGAGGAGAGCAGACAGCAGCAGUCAGCCGUGGACACUACAGGCACAGAGGACAACGCUGGAGCUGCAUCAGCCCUGAGGUCCAAAGCUGACGAUACCAUGCACCUCCCAGGGCGUGUCUGUUCCAGGAGCCGUGCAGGCAAAAGGACCUCCAGAGUCACCCUACGAGGGGAGCAUGAGAGGGCAGUCACCAAAGAUUUACUGUACAGUCCAAUUAAGAAAACCCGAAACCCACAGCCAACAGCCAUUUUCAAUCAAGGGCGGACUUCAGCUCAUCUGGAGACUCAUAGCCAGCACAGAUCAUGGAGGGCCUGAGGACGUCCCACCACAGGGUGUACCGGCAGGCAUCACAGCCCCAGGUUUGGGCAGACAGAUGGGGCUGAUCUCCCUCGUCAUGUUGACAGGCUUUGCCAAAUGCACCAGCGCGAUGUCAUUGGUGA
This is a long non-coding RNA of Larimichthys crocea (large yellow croaker), 625 nucleotides long. RefSeq lists it as uncharacterized. Lineage: Eukaryota; Metazoa; Chordata; Actinopteri; Sciaenidae. The transcript has 7 exons. The record is from RefSeq and is a predicted model, not a curated record.